CCAGAAUACCCAGAAAGUGUUGCAAAAGAAAAGAGAGUAUGCAGUGUUGUGAGAAGCGAAUCAGGGUACUGACUCGUGCGCGUGGACAGGGUUUGACCGAUCAGGUUACAGUUAGCGACAUGCAGAGGAACUCUGACCUAGGGCUGUGUCGUAGGGCAGUGACGCGUGUUGUGCCUGACGGUGACAUUCCGAGCGACGCGGCGAGCAUGGAGAGAUGGUGUAGCAUGAUAGGAGAUAGGACCUCUCCUCAAGAUGGGAACUCCCCUCAAGGAGGGAAAAGUGUGUCAAGCCUGUUCGAAGGGCUGGGCAGUCAGGUGUUGGCGAACGCAGAACCAACCACGAGUGGAACGCACACGCUAGAAAAGGAGUAAAUUACGGUCAGUUUAUUUUAUGGCUGCUAUACAGGGAUGACGUCACAGCCAAAAGAAGUGACGGUGUCGUCUCACAGUACAGACAGUGUGUACGUCACACGGCGCGGUAUCUCCCGCAAACAGAAUGAAGAGAAUCUUGUGAGUUAUACAUUGCUACCUGGCCGUAUACAGACAACAUUCGGACUGCUGAGAUCGUCUUUACGUUCAGAAACACGUAUGGCGUAGUAAGAGGAUUGAAGAAAGAUGUUCUGUGCAAACUGCGGGUGUGCCCAAUCAAUCUGGGGGGUGACGGCGCCAGUAGUGUGGAACUGCUUAUUACACUGGGGGGCCUGAUACGCUACGACACAACGAAAACGGACAUUCUCGCAGGUGUCGGUCGACAGGGCGGCUCAUUGUGGCACUGUAAUUCUUCUUCUCACUUCUUAUCUACUGUUGUACAUUAAAAAAACAGCUACAGAAGAUAGAGUUUAUGCUCCUGCAACCAAAGUAAUAUCUUUAAUCCUUCACACACGUGCUUUGGCUCUAGCUAGGUUUUAAACCUCAAACAAUGAAACUGUUGUUGUGUGAAACACAAUGCUUUCUCAACCAGGAGCCUGUUGGAUGUAGCCUUGGUAUUUGACAUUCAAGACAGCACCGCAUCUUGGUGCCAACAAAGUCCGUGAGGACGCUUGGGUCAAAGGUGGAGCGAACUGUAGGCUACAUUUGAGACAAAGCUCUGUGACUAUUGUUUUCUACUGACCAGUGGUGUGUGUGUGCUUCAGUGCAUGCGAAUGUGCGUUCUGGUCAUUAUUCCAUUUAGCCCUAUUUUAAUUUUUUAAGGCUUUAAUGAGAUCACAUAUUCUGUAUUUUUCGAAUAAAAUCUUUUUUAACGUUUUUUUCUUUCACAUUGACUUUUUGUGUUUGAGACUGUUAGUCUAUAAAAUGUCAGAGUUGAAAAUACACUGUAUGUAGAUUUUAAAAAAUAAUAUUAUUGCUAUUACUAACGUUAUUGAUGUUGAGAAUUUUACUAGUAGCUAAUUCAAUCCUUUACUGAUCAAGUAAUCAAAAAAGUGAUUUAUUUACCAAAUUUCAGUAUGACAAUAAAUGUUUGUUAUCUUUGAAUAUUCUCGAGUGGAGAAGUUAGGAUGGUAAGAAAUUAAUUGACGUGGGAGCAAGUCUUGAUUAACAUUUCAUCAGUAAACAUAUACAACAAAACGUAUUACAACAGGAUCAUCAACCGAUUCUUGACUUUAUGAAGCAGUUCAUGAGUCAUUGGCCUCUCUAUAGCAUACUGUCAUUGGUCUUAGAAAGCAUGCUAAGUGUCACUGGAAUCUAUAAAGCAUGUGUUACUUUUGUUUAUAUGGAAUGAAAGACAUUACUUUUGCUGAACAUUAUUGUUUCAUUCUUUGUUGCAGAGAAUAAGAAAUUCUUAGAUACUGAUGUAAAUAUUUUAGUCAUCUAGAGUAAUUUGUCCUCUAGCAGGGAUAUGGUCUUUAUUUGCAACAAGAAAAACAUAUUGCAGUUAUCGUGGCAUCAAUUUCAAUAAAUCAAAAGCAUCAGGAAGCCAAAAAACAUUCGAUCCAAAAAGUUUACUUUUAUUAGGUCUAUGUGAAGCUAAUCGCUUUGUAAACAAUGAAAUGCUAGGAGAAAUGCUCGCUCCAGCCAGAGAAUCAAUCAUUACAACUAGCUGGAAUA
RNAcentral lists this unclassified non-coding RNA (2045 nucleotides) under Pomacea canaliculata. RNAcentral's name for it is "uncharacterized LOC112557925, transcript variant X1". Lineage: Eukaryota; Metazoa; Mollusca; Gastropoda; Architaenioglossa; Ampullariidae. The record is from RNAcentral.